RNAcentral lists this ribosomal RNA (301 nucleotides) under uncultured bacterium. Its description in RNAcentral is "partial 16S ribosomal RNA". It matches the Rfam family "Bacterial small subunit ribosomal RNA", at positions 509 to 809 of the family's 1533-position model. The record is from RNAcentral.
CAGUAGCCGCGGUAAUACGAAGGGGGCUAGCGUUGCUCGGAAUGACUGGGCGUAAAGGGCGCGUAGGCGGCGAUCAAAGUCAGGCGUGAAAUUCCUGGGCUCAACCUGGGGGCUGCGCUUGAUACUUGGUUGCUUGAGUGGGGAGGAGGGUCGUGGAAUUCCCAGUGUAGAGGUGAAAUUCGUAGAUAUUGGGAAGAACACCGGUGGCGAAGGCGGCGACCUGGUCCUUUACUGACGCUGAGGCGCGAAAGCGUGGGGAGCAAACAGGAUUAGAGACCCCCGUAGUCCUGUCUCUUAUACA